GACCUACGGAGGCAGCAGUGAGGAAUAUUGGUCAAUGGGCGAGAGCCUGAACCAGCCAAGUAGCGUGCAGGAAGACGGCCCUAUGGGUUGUAAACUGCUUUUAUCAGGGGAUAAAGUGAGGUAUGUAUACCUUUUUGCAUGUACCUGAUGAAUAAGGACCGACUAAUUCCGUGCCAGCAGCCGCGGUAAU
RNAcentral lists this ribosomal RNA (190 nucleotides) under uncultured rumen bacterium. RNAcentral describes it as "partial 16S ribosomal RNA". It matches the Rfam family "Bacterial small subunit ribosomal RNA", at positions 334 to 524 of the family's 1533-position model. The record is from RNAcentral.